This 626-nucleotide ribosomal RNA is filed under the name uncultured bacterium. RNAcentral describes it as "bacterial SSU rRNA". It matches the Rfam family "Bacterial small subunit ribosomal RNA", at positions 8 to 652 of the family's 1533-position model. The record is from RNAcentral.
AGAGUUUGAUCCUGGCUCAGGAUGAACGCUGACAGAAUGCUUAACACAUGCAAGUCUACUUGAAACACUUUCGGGUGUGGAUGGUGGCGGACGGGUGAGUAACGCGUAAAUAACUUGCCCCCUAGUCUGGGACAACUGUUGGAAACGACAGCUAAUACUAGAUAUUAUGAGACCUUGGCAUCAAGGACUUAUGAAAGCUAUAUGCGCUAGGGGAGAGAUUUGCGUCCUAUUAGCUAGUUGGUGAGGUAAUGGCUCACCAAGGCGACGAUAGGUAGCCGGCCUGAGAGGGUGAACGGCCACAAGGGGACUGAGACACGGCCCUUACUCCUACGGGAGGCAGCAGUGGGGAAUAUUGGACAAUGGACCAAAAGUCUGAUCCAGCAAUUCUGUGUGCUUGAUGAAGGCCUUCGGGUUGUAAAGAGCUUUAAGUAGGGAAGAAGAAAGUGACGGUACCUACAGAAUAAGCGACGGCUAAAUACGUGCCAGCAGCCGCGGUAAUACGUAUGUCGCAAGCGUUAUCCGGAAUUAUUGGGCAUAAAGGGCGUCUAGGCGGUUUAGAAAGUCUGAUGUGAAAAUGCGGGGCUCAACCCCGUAUUGCGUUGGAAACUACUAGACUAGAGUAUUGG